GAUGAGCCCCUGCGCGGGCAGCGCAAUGGUCUGGCCCUGCGUGGAGCCCAGGCCAGGCCCCCGGUUGACCGUCUGGCGGAUGCGCAGGAAGCGGCCGCGCUGGUUCUCCUUGAGAUCCAUGUAGUACUUGCGGUUCUCGCGCACCAGGAACUCGCUUUUGAGCGCCCGGCGCGGCUCGUCCUGCGCCUGGGCCAGGUCCGGCGGCUGGCUGGGGCCCAGCUGCGCGUAGUGCUCGAUGAAGUCGCCCAGGUAGUCGCGGAACUCCACGGCCACUGACAUGGAGAGAGUAAGGCGGCUCUUGUUGCCGCCCGCGCCCACCUCGGCGAUCUUCAGGAAGCGGCCCUUGGCGUUCUGCUUCACGUCCAGAAAGAGCCCCAUUCUACUCAGCAUUAGCUACUUCAGCCCUGGGCUGAAGUUUGCGACUUCCUACUGAAAAGAAACAAGAAGCACCUGGCCACCAAGGAGCAAACAGGCGCUGUCCUGUGCACCCGUCUCAGAACCACCCACCUAUGUCCAGUGGUCCCUGAAAUGGCUCUCUGAAGGGAAGGCUCCACACCAAGAGAUAAAAACCCAGACUUUGGGCCCCAUAAAGAACUUCCCCUUAUUUGGGAGGCAACCUCUAGUACCCUGUAGUACUCUUUCCGUGUUGAUUUUUUCUGCACUCCUUCCCCUGUCCCAAAGUCUAUUGAGAAGGGGACACAGGAACUUUUGAAGCACUUUGAACUGCACAGAAAUACACGUGUGAAGAAGCAGUAACUCCUCCAGGCUCGAACAGUAGCAAUCAGGACUCUGGAUAGACCCCAGCGCCUCCAGGGACAAAAAGGCUCAGUAGCAGGCUCUCCACAGAGAAUGGAGUGGGACAUUAUGUUUCACUUGUAAACUGAGGCUAAGAUCUGGUACAAUCCGAUCUAGAAGGGCUGCUGCUCUUCCUCAAGAGUUUACCUUGCGUCAAACCAAGCCCCUGCUCCCUAAUGAAAACUCAAGGCAGCAACAAGGCCAAUGAGAAUACGAUGAGGGCCCCACCCACCCCCCCUGCCAGUCCCUGCCUUUCUUCCGUGCUGAUUGCUGCCCCCAGGACAGAAGACUAAGACUCGAAACUGCCCCGCCUUCCUAUCCCAACUUCCCGCCUUCGUAUCCCAACUUCCCGCCUUCCUAUCCCGACUUGCAGUCUAAAUUUUCUUGCCCUCCGUCCUAGACGUCUAUAUACAGGGAUUCCGAAUGAUUUGAGUUUGGAAGUGCCCUGUUUUUCUGAAAAAGUGACUGCCACCAAGAACUGACUUCUUAGUUACCCAGCGCAGAGGCAACUGAUGAAGUUUCCAGACAGAACACAAGUUGAAUCUCAUUUGUACACUUAAACUGGGAAUUUUAAGGUCAAAUCAGCAAAUUACUGGGACCUAGAUCUCUCCACAUAAAUAUGUACUUGUUUUAUGCUAUUCAUUAUAUAUGUAUAAAACUUUUGCCCUUAUUUGCCAGCUUCUCUACUUUAUAUGUGUAUCUAAAAAGCAAACAAGAUUAACAAUGCCUUUCCAAAAUAAUUCAAUGAUAAAUAGGAUUUUUAGCAUAUUUUCACUACUGAAACGAGAGUUAAUUUCAGAAUAAGCCUUUAAGUGUGGGCUUUUUCUCAGACUAAGGAGGUGAAAGGCAGCUUUCUUUGGGCUAUAGUGUACAGUAGCCUUAAAAGGCAAUCUGGGAGAAAUGAAUAUAAACUUCCAGAAGUCUUAAAACAAAAAGUUUAAACUUUAAAUAAAACUUCACAGUUAUAUUUGCAUUGUAACACUGAAAAGUCAUUAGAAAAUAAGUGGAUUUUAAGACUUCUAACCAUUUGUUAAUAAUCUAAACAAUAUACUAACUUGGUGAAUGAAGUCUGUUCUAGUAUCCAGCUGUUUGAAUUUGUUAAUGUAAAACAAAUAGUUGUAAAACUAAAUGUAUAAUUUCAUUAGAAUGUAGGAAAGACAAAGGGAAAACGAAAUAUACAGCAAAUUAAUAUGCAGCAAAAAUCCAUGUUAAUGAAAAACAUCAAAAAGUAAACAUUUCCUUUCUCCUCACAAUAUGCUUACAAAGACAUAAUGUCUCUAGAUUUCUUGAGCCCUUUUAUUAUUAAUACAACAGACACAUUUUAAAGAGAAUAGAGACUGCUUUAUUUUUAAUCCCACUGUCUCUAUGUAUUUAACAAACUCUUACCAACAAAAAAUUGUGCGCAAAGAAAUACACAUUAGGCAGAACAAAAAAGAAAAAAGCUUUAAUUUUCUUCAGCCUGACUACAGGUGAUUCUGAAAUAAUCUAAUUCAGUUUUGGUUUUAUAAAGUAAAAAUCAACACACAUUUAUAAAAUAGACUUGGAAAGAGGUUGUCUACCUCUGGGUAGUAAACCCUUCUGAUUAUAGAGUUCCUAAUAGAAACAAUAUGUUGAUUAAUAUUUUACAAAAUCACAAAUUUCCAAAAUAAAGAACAUUAGAGCUUGUGUUUUCAAGUGAUACUUAGAUUAAAUACCAGUCUUAAACCAGACAACUAUCUUCAAUACCCAAAUCAUUAAAACUAACUGGGAUGUUGUACUGUAAAUGUUCAAAGUGGAGGAAUUAGCCAUUUCUUCUCAUGACUGUCUACCAAAAAAAUUGAGAAACUCUCAAAUAAAUCUUAACAUUUAACAACAACAAUGACUAAUAGUAACAGCAUUUCCCAGAUCGUUCUUUAAAAGCGUAUUCCUUUUCCAUAGCUCACUUAAUCUUGAAAAUCAUGCCUCUUCAAUGCUAUUUUAAUGUUUCGGAUUAAAGAUAUGAAGUAAACAUUUAAUAUAUGAAGAGAACAAUCCACUUGAUAAAAAUCCUCGCAUUUCCAAAAUGUUUUCAUUUUAAGCAUUUGCAGAAGUUAAAUAAAUGUAGCAGACAUUCUAAAUUCGAUAAAAAAUUCAGAGAACCCGACAUUUUAUGUACCCCAAAGGUCCAAACAGAACCGAUGUAAAUGUCAAUAGCUGUCUCCCUUCCGGCUGAUACUUAAAUGGUUUUACUAGUACUCAAAGCAAUGAAAUCAGCAACUCUCUCUCCACACUCUAGUCAACACUCCAAUUUCCAAAGCCGCAAUUCGCAAACGUCAGUUGGGCGGGGGCGGUGGGGGAUCUUGAAGUAAUCCAAAAAUUUCCUUUCCCCUUUGACAGUCCACCAAAAGAUGUCAAACCAAAUCCAGCCUAUUGUAAAGCUCUGGGACCUCCCUUCCAAGGACACCGAACACAAGCUUAGACACCGCUGCGAAAAGCUGUCCAAAAGCGCCUGGCCGGACAGAAAUGUAAGGAGCCCAGGCCAAAACGAAUUAGAACCCCCAACAGAGGGUCCCGCAGACACCGCGGAAAAGAAGGUGGCAUUUAUUCCGGGGUAGACAGCUACGAACCAGUUACCCCAGCCAGUCUCUGGGGGCUCUCCAACCCAAGUUCAGGUUUAUGGCAGAUAUAUUGGUUGGGUGCCUUCCCCUACAAACAUCACAGCCCGCCUCCGGGGCCCACCGCCGCUCACAGAGAAGACCCCUCAGCUUCACAUCCGUUCCUUUUGCCCUCGGACAAAGGCAGAGGAGCUGUGGAGCUGACCCAGCGCUGUGGGGCAGUAAAAAUGCCUUGUUCGGGCCACCCAUCUUUGGGCCCGGCUUCAUCUGCGAUGUCAGCACCAAAGGUUUUUUUUUUUUUUUUCCUGGUUUUGUUUUGUUUUUACAACGCAUCCUGGGCGGGUGUAUGCAUUUGGUGGUAGUGGGGUGGGGGGAACCGAACAGAGGAGGGGUUGGCAGUGAAGCCUGGGUUAUAGAACUCUCCUUCCUCUCCCUCCUUCCAGGGUUGCCGUGCAGGGAGUGUCAGCCACGUCUAGCGCACAGUCCCAGGCCCCAGGGCGAAGGCGGCCAGGGGAAAUGGGGCUCAGGGAUUGCUAAGCAAACGCAUCACUGGUGGUCUCCAGCGCCUGCGGAGGUAGGAUCGCCUCUUUUCUUAAGGGGCGUGUUAUUUUGUUCUCUUUUGAAAGUAGGAGGGGGUUCAUUCGUUUCUCGCUGCGGGGGGUGGGAGAGAACGUUGCUGCACCGCCUGGGUCUCCAAGAGGGAGGGUGCGGGGAUGUCUGCAAUGGUACUAUAAUUAUUCCUGGGCUGAGAGAGCAAGUAAAGGGGACGGGGCGAGCGUCACCUGGAGCUGUGGCAGUGGCAGCAGGGAAGGUCGCGAGGGGCUUACCCGGGCGGGCGGGCGCUGUCCUGCCGCAGGUGAGGGAGGGCGCAGGCUGGCGGGAGGGAGGGCGCGCGCGAGACAGGCGCGAGGAAGGGGGGAGGGGAGGAGGGCGCGCGCGCGCACACCUGUCCUGGACAGCGGCGCUAGCCGAGCUGCGCCUCACUUAGGCUCUGCGGGCUGAGGAGGAAGGAGGGCGGGCUGGCGGGCGGGGGCGGGACGCCGAGGGGAGGAGGAGGAGGCGGCUCGGAUGGCUGGCUCGGCUCUCGCUCGCUCUCCCUCCCAUGGGCAGUGCCUGAUGGCUGAGAAGAAUCGCAGAGGACUAGAAAAGGUUUGAGUCUGAAAUUAUCUGGCACAGAGGAUUAAAGCUCAGAAAUAAGUGAUUGCGAAACAGUUCAACUUCCCUGUUAAUGACAACAACAACAGCAACACGCUUAUUAAUUCCUAGCUGGAGCAUCAAGCUUAUGAAGAUUUCCAAGACUUUAUUGUUGACCCUUGUUGAAGAGAACUCUACUUGGCUUCUUUCCUGGCUUUCCUAAAUUGUUCACAUACAAGAUAAACUACCGUCAUUCAGACUUACAGAAGUGAGAAGACAAGCUGAACCAAAUGUAAAAUGGUAGCAAUUUACAGAUGUCAGAACUAACAUGUGGAUGAACUUAGAGAUGGAGAAGAAAGCUGGGCUUUUCCAAAGAGUGGAUCUAUCUGAACUGGAUAGCACUAUUGAACUUUGUUGCAUAUUUUGUGGUAGCUCUAAAACUCCUCUGCUUGCUUACAUACAACCAGACACCAGUGCCUUCUGAAGCUAAUCCAGGCCAUUUUUAUAACCUAAUGCAGUAGCACUUUGCAAUUAGAUGAAGAAGAUCGGUGGGAUUUCUUUCUGUGGUGAUUAAAAUGUGUCAGGGGAAGAAAUCAAGACAAUACUCCAAGUGAAAAAUAUAAAGUCAGUUAUUUCUUUAAUAUUUUGUGUUAUAGUAAUCAUUUUUAUAUUUUGAGCAUACUUUUUCUUGUCUACUUAAAUACUCAAAAUUAAUUAUAAAAUGUAAAUGUAAGCACAAUGAGAUACCAUCUCAUCCCAGUUAAAAUGGCUUUUAUCAAAAAGAUAGGGAAUAAUGAAUACUGGUGGAAGGAUGUGGAGAAUGGGGAACCCUCGUACACUGUCAAUGAGAAUGUAAAUUAGUACAGCCACUAUGGAAAACUGUAUGGAAGUGCCUCCGAAAACAAAGUAGAACUACCAUGUGAUCCAGCAAUUACACUAGUGGGUAUAUAUUCAAAAGAAAGGAAAUCAACAUAUUAAAGAGAUAGCUGCAUUCUCAUGUUUAUUGAAGUCCUGUUGAAAUAGCCAAAAUAUGGAAUCAACCUAAGUGCCCAUCAGUGGAUGAAUGGUUAAAGAAAAUGUGAUUGAUAUGCAAUGGAAUAUUAUUCAGCCAUAAAAAAGAAUGAAAUCCUGGCGGGGCACAGUGGCUCAUGCAAGUAAUCCCAGCACUGACCUCAUGAAGACAGAGAGUAGAUUGGUGGUUACCAGAGGUUGAGAAGGGGAGAGGAGAGGAGGGAUGAAGAGAGGUUGAUUGAUGGAUAGAAAUAUACAGUUUGAUAAUGAUAAAUCAGUAGGGUGACUAUAGUUUAUAAUAACCUAUUGUAUGGUUCAAAAUAGCUAAAAGAGAAUAAUUGAAAUAACGUAAGACAAAAAUUUAAGAUGAUAGAUAUCCCAAUUACACUGAUUUGAUCUUUACAAAUUAUAUGAAUGUAUUAAAUUAUUACAUGUAUCCCCAAAAUAUGUACAAGUAUUUUGUAUCAAUAAAAAAUAAAAUUUAAGAUAAAGUAAAUGUAAUGAUUAGCUUAUAUUUCCUAGAUCGGAAAUAAAUAUUUACUUAAGUAUGUUUAUGAUGAAGAGUUUUUUUAUAUUACUAUAAAAAUAGACACCUUACAUAAACAUAUUACAGUUGGUGUUUAGAUGGCUCUUUUUUUUCUGGCCUUGAAUUUCUGGAAAGUAGGUAUGGCCUGCUAUGUCAGGACUAGUUCUUGGAAUUCUUUGUUGUUUUUCAGUCAGCCUUAUUUUCUUGGGUCAUGUUUUGAACAAUAUUUAUCAAAUGUCUGUUUACCAGACGUUGUUCCAGAUGCUUGAACAAAAUGAAAUGUCUGCUGUCAUAGAGUUUCCAGUCUAUGUAAGACAGUAAACAAAUGUAUAAUAUAAUGCUAGAUAGUGAUAAGUGCUAAAAAGAAGAAGAAAAUAGGAAAGGGGAAAGAGAGUUUCUGUGUGAUUGUAUGUGAAAGUGUCCAUGCAUGCCGCUCACCCAGUAUUUUAAAUAGAGUGAUCAAGGAAGCCUGUCUGAAGAAGUAACAUUUGAACAGAGAUCUGAAAUAGUCAGUCACGGGAACAUUUAGGGAGAUGUUCCAGGCAGGCAUUGUGGACAAUUUAUGUCACAAAAAAGUCACCCAAGUGUUAAGUCAAGUAACAUCCUGUAUGAUAACUAUAUAUACAUUUUUUUGUUUUUUCUUAAGUGAAAAACAAACUUAUUAGGUUUUCUGGGUACUCAUUAGGUUUUCAGAAAAGUUUUUCAUUUAAUAUCAUUAUUGCUGUAUAUUUCCCUUAAUGAUUAUUCUAUUAUUUAAUACAUAAGAUUUAUGGCUCUACAGAUACAGCUUCACAAUCCCUUAUCUGUAAUUCCAAAAUACAAAAAAAUUUCUUAAUUCAUUUAGUGGCAAAAUCUGAACUGACAUGAAUCUAUUUAAAAUUAUCCUUUAUGGGCCAGGUGCAGUGGCUUACGCCUAUAAUCCCAGCACUUUGGGAGGCCAAGGCAGGAGGAUCACUUGAGGCCAGGAGUUUGAGACCAGCCUGGCCAACAUGGUGAAAUCCCAUUUCUCCUAAAAAUACAAAAAUUAGCUGGGUGUGGUGGCACAUGCUUGUGGUCCCACCUACUUGGGAGGCUGAGGCACGAGAAUCACUUGAACCUGGGAGGUGGAGGUUGCCGAGAUCUUGCCACUGCACUCCAGCCUGGGUGACAGAGCGAAACUCUUGUCUCAAAAAAAAAAAAAGUAUUUAUUCCAUUUAGUGUGACUACUGAUACAUUUCAUUGUAGAAACAUUAGUGUGUUUGAUGAAGGGUUGCUACACAUUAAGUAAAAUAUAGAUAAUACAAUGUAUUGUACCCUAAAAUAUAAAAAAAAUUAAAUCCAGAAACACGUGUUCCCAAGAAUUUUGGAUAAGGGAUUGUAGAUCUGUGUCAGAUUUCUUCUUGAUUUUCUGAUUAAAUGUUACCAUUGUUGUUAAUCUUUAGAUACAUUGUUUUUAGAAGUAUAAUGCUAUAUAGUGCCCUUAUUAUAUACUGGCAU
RNAcentral lists this long non-coding RNA (7515 nucleotides) under Homo sapiens (human). RNAcentral describes it as "non-protein coding MALINC1:40". The record is from RNAcentral. Lineage: Eukaryota; Metazoa; Chordata; Mammalia; Primates; Hominidae.